RNAcentral lists this ribosomal RNA (253 nucleotides) under uncultured bacterium. RNAcentral describes it as "partial 16S ribosomal RNA". It matches the Rfam family "Bacterial small subunit ribosomal RNA", at positions 524 to 776 of the family's 1533-position model. The record is from RNAcentral.
UACGGGGGGGGUAAGCGUUGUUCGGAAUUACUGGGCGUAAAGGGCUCGUAGGCGGCCAACUAAGUCAUACGUGAAAUCCCUCAGCUUAACUGGGGAACUGCGUGUGAUACUGGAUGGCUUGGAUUUGGGAGAGGGAUGCGGAAUUCCAGGUGUAGCGGUGAAAUGCGUAGAUAUCUGGAGGAACACCGGUGGCGAAGGCGGCAUCCUGGACCAAUAUUGACGCUGAGGAGCGAAAGCCAGGGGGGCAAACGGG